AGGAGUGUAGCUCAGCGAUAGAGCAUGAAUUUAGCAUGUACAAGGCCCUGGGUUUAAUUCCCAGCACCUA
Molecule: transfer RNA, 70 nt
Filed under: Ictidomys tridecemlineatus (thirteen-lined ground squirrel)
Lineage: Eukaryota; Metazoa; Chordata; Mammalia; Rodentia; Sciuridae
Description: Spermophilus tridecemlineatus (thirteen-lined ground squirrel) tRNA
Rfam family: tRNA
About the family: Transfer RNA (tRNA) molecules are approximately 80 nucleotides in length. Their secondary structure includes four short double-helical elements and three loops (D, anti-codon, and T loops).
Source: Rfam by way of RNAcentral